RNAcentral lists this long non-coding RNA (421 nucleotides) under Equus caballus (horse). RNAcentral describes it as "lncRNA (ENSECAG00000046219.1)". Lineage: Eukaryota; Metazoa; Chordata; Mammalia; Perissodactyla; Equidae. The record is from RNAcentral.
CGGAAGUAAAAAAGUAAAAGUUGCUUAGCUUGUGCCCAGGAGAGGCACAAGCGAGCUGGUGCAGAGAGGAAAGGGGCAGAAGCUAGGAUGGUGAUUACCUCGGAGAGGCAGUGACUGGAACUCAGCCGGCCUGCUGGGGACCUGGACAGAUUCUGUUUCUUGAUCUGGUGCUGGUUACGUGGAUGUGUUCGCCCGCAGACUGUGUAUCUAACUUCAAAACUGAGGAUUAUCUCUAGGUGUUAUCCGAGAUGCCCAAUGACUGGUUUCUGCUUUGUCAAUGGAGCAAGCACACUUCUUCAUCAGUCGGCCCAUGACUUUGUUGGCUAUCCCUAGUCAUCAGGAAAUUCUUCCUUGUAGUUAUAUGAUGUUGCUCUCCCUAUAACUUCCAGCCUUUUGUUCCAGUCCUGGCCUUAGACAAGUC